Molecule: ribosomal RNA, 166 nt
Filed under: Carex disperma
Lineage: Eukaryota; Viridiplantae; Streptophyta; Magnoliopsida; Poales; Cyperaceae
Description: 5.8S ribosomal RNA
Rfam family: 5.8S ribosomal RNA
About the family: 5.8S ribosomal RNA (5.8S rRNA) is a component of the large subunit of the eukaryotic ribosome.
Source: RNAcentral
AAUAUGACUCUCGGCAACGGAUAUCUCGGCUCUCGCAUCGAUGAAGAACGUAGCGAAAUGCGAUACGUGGUGUGAAUUGCAGAAUCCCGUGAACCAUCGAGUCUUUGAACGCAAGUUGCGCCCGAGGGAUCCUCCCAAGGGCANGCCUGCCUCAUGGGCGUUAGAA